UUCCGGUUGAUCCUGCCGGAGGCAACUGCUAUUGGGGUCCGCCUAAGCCAUGCGAGUCGACCGGGCUUUCCUCCUUCGGGAGGAGGGCAGGGCCGGACGGCUCAGUAACACGUGGGUAAUCUACCCUCGGGUCGGGCAUAACCCCGGAAAACUGGGGCUAAUACCCGAUAGGUGGAGAGGUCUGGAAGGAUCCUCCGCCGAAAGUCCGGCGCCCGAGGAUGAGCCUGCGACCGAUUAGGUAGUUGGCGGUGUAACGGACCACCAAGCCUGUGAUCGGUACGGGCAGUGGGAGCUGUAGCCCGGAGAUGGGGGUUGAGACACGGCCCCAGGCCUACGGGGCGCAGCAGGCGCGAAAACUCCGCAAUGCUCGCAAGAGCGACGGGGGGACCCCAAGUGCUCUUGCACUGCA
This 409-nucleotide ribosomal RNA is filed under the name uncultured archaeon. RNAcentral's name for it is "bacterial SSU rRNA". It matches the Rfam family "Archaeal small subunit ribosomal RNA", at positions 1 to 402 of the family's 1478-position model. The record is from RNAcentral.